UUACAGAUUGUUUAAUUGACACUCAAAAAGAAUCUAUUUCACCAAAUUCAUCAUUUACACUUUAGAAGUCAUCAGAAUUAGCCACCUCACACGAUGAAACCUCACAACCUUAUGGUGUUACAUUUGGAUCACUAGCUGGACGUGACAUUAAAAAUGCAAAGCAAACAGGUAUAAAAAGGAGGGUAAAUCAUGCUGAAAAAAAUACUGGAUCACCAUAUAAAUCUCAGCUAGAGGAAUCUUUAAACUUGAAAUAUAAGAACAGACAGCCAUGUAAAAAGUGCAUUAAAAAAAGUAUAUCUACUCAUCAAAAGACGUGUUUGAAAUACCUUGAUGCUAAAGGUGCGAUUAAUAAACAACUUUGUGCAAAGUGUCAAUACAGUUAUGGUAAUCCUGUUGAUCCUUAUUUAAAAGAUAAUUGGGAUAUAUGCCUUAAAUGCUGUAGAUGGUGGCAUGAAACAUGUGCUGCUAUAUGUGGUGUUUAUACUAAAAAAGUAUUUACUUGUGAUGACUGUAUAAAGCACUGAUUCUUAAAAAAAAAGUUAUAUGUCAUAUAUUGAUAAAA
Hydra vulgaris (swiftwater hydra) is the source of this 562-nucleotide non-coding RNA. NCBI's taxonomy places the organism in Eukaryota, Metazoa, Cnidaria, Hydrozoa, Anthoathecata, Hydridae. The record is from RefSeq and is a predicted model, not a curated record.